Molecule: long non-coding RNA, 663 nt
Organism: Cynoglossus semilaevis (tongue sole)
Lineage: Eukaryota; Metazoa; Chordata; Actinopteri; Pleuronectiformes; Cynoglossidae
Exons: 3
Source: RefSeq, a predicted model, not a curated record
CAGAGCCUCGUACUUCAGCUCUCUGCCCGUUAUCUUUUUGUAGAUGUUCUCCAGACACACCAGGAACGUUCCAUGACCGAACCUACAGAACCAAACAAACGUGUGUCUGUGUUCCAUCAUUGAUCUCAGGACUGAGGGUUACCGUGGCGAUUGGGCCUCGGCCAUCCACAUGAGGUCCAUGUUGCAGGCCAGAACCGGCAGAUGAGGCGUCAUUCUGGGUUGGUGAACACUGCCGAGGUUACCAUUGGUCAACAAGACGUCGAUGAUCAGCUGCAGGUUGGUCUCCCAUCGAACUGGCUCUCCAAACAGAACCACAGCUGUGUGUGUGUGUGUGUGUGUGUGUGUGUGUGUGUGUGAAAACAAAGUGAAUCAGAGCGGUUACGUCUGAGCUCCUGAUCUGGAGAAGAAUCUGAAGAUGAAGUAACAGGUUCAUACCUUCAACUUUGGGGAGGUUCACCACAGGGCUGGGCUGGAACAGAGGACAGGAGUGAGCACGUGCAGAAGAACAAGACCAAGACCACAAAGCAGUUUGGGUCUCCUGUUGUGGUCCACCAUGUCCAGCAGGGGGUACAACUCCCUCAGCAUCUCAAUACUGACAACAUUCUUGAAACCCAAACUGGAAAAGAAGAAAUAUAUAUGUUCUUAGAACCUUGAAAGAAUGAA